CUUCAAUUCUGACAUCUGCCAAAGCUGUUUCUUUUUGGGGCGCACAUCAAAGGGACACAAGUUACAUUGCCCCAUGGUGGAGUACUGCACUCCGAACCUACCCCGGAAGAGAGAGCCCAGAGAAUUGCCAAAGCUGUCCGCAAACAGUCAAUAGAAGUGAAGGAAACUUGGGAGCAAUUGAAAAUCCAUGCGAGCAACUGGCAGGAACAGGUGGAAAAGGUGUUGGAGAAACUUCAAGAACUGCAGAAAGCUCUGGAUGAUCAUGAGGCUCAUGUGAUAACAGCUGAAGGGGUCCGCACUGAUUGGCAACCUGUGGGUGAACUGCUUAUUGACUCAUUGCAGGAUCACAUUGAUAAAACCACAGGGUUGGAGUCGAAGAAUCAGAGUGCUUUCUUUGAAAAUUGUCUUGAUGUGUCCAUCCAAGCGUCAACUGGAGGAAAAAUACAAGUGUCAGUACUAAAUCUAUCAUUGCUGAUACACAUGUAAACUGUAGGUUUAACUGGAGGUAAACUUUGUUUAACAAAC
Molecule: long non-coding RNA, 525 nt
Organism: Stegostoma tigrinum
Lineage: Eukaryota; Metazoa; Chordata; Chondrichthyes; Orectolobiformes; Stegostomatidae
Exons: 3
Source: RefSeq, a predicted model, not a curated record